GAAUAAAGACCACAUCCGGAGAAGUGAGUAAUCUCUAAGGCUUCAAACUCCUCCAGGACAUAGAGCGUCCUCAUGAUUCACAGGGAAUGUAGCACCAACUCCCAGGGGUCUAUGUGGGUAAAUCACUUCAUUUUUCUGAUUGUGUUAAUAUUCAACUGCCAGUGAGAAGGGUAAUUCUUUGGCUUCUCGAGGCUAUAGAGAACAUUUCUGGAAACCUACUCAUCCCCACUUAUUACCUUUCUCAAAAACCGUGCAGCUGACUUGAAUAUACUCUAUUGAAUUAUGUUUGGGAAGAGCGCUGAGAAAGCUGAACCGAUGAUCCUCCAAAGUCUGCUCGUCACCUGCUCAGAAUUUUCUCAGUUUGAUGGAACCUACAAGAAGAACUUUCCCUGAAGGUUUAAUUCAAGGCACUGUGGCUGGUGAAGGGUGAGGAUGGGUUUGAUGAAUUCAGCAUUCGACUGAGCUCCUGCAACCACCAGAUGCUCUUCCCUCCAACAGAAAGGUCAUCCCUGGCAAAGCCUACAAAAAUGAAGAUUAGGCUUUUAAAGGAAAGAAAAUCUUAGUUGGAGAUGAUGACUUUCACCCGAUUUUUUUUUCUUUUUAUUGCAGUGGAAAAUUUUAUUGCACAUAGAAAAUCAGAGUGCCUGUAGGACGAAUGAAUCCUUCUGGGCAACUUCUGAGUUCUCUUGCUGUUGUGUGCGAAAUGUGGUUCAACAAGGACUUGAAUACCAAUGCACUGCAUAUGUGCCUUAGGUGACCUCUUCAGAAUCCUGACCUAUUAUUUCUCUCAACUACUUGCCUGCCUUCCUAUAAAAGCAACCUAAUGGAAUUAAAGGGUUUUUUUUAAGCAGGUGUGUUAUUUUGAGUGAACUUCUGUUUAACUUCUGCCUUUUGGGAAAUGUUACUACCUUCAACAAUCAAAAAUUGUCUGGUAUAUGUAGUAAUUGUUUCACAAAUUUGUAAUUUUUCUCCUCCCCAGUUCACUCAAUGAAGUUGCAGUGGUUUGAAUUGGGUGUCCCGGAAAGACAUGUUGAAGCUCUAAUCUCCACUACCUGUGAAUGUGAUCUUAUUUGUAAAUAGCACAUUUGCUAUUGUAAGAAGGUAAGGAUCACAAGAAGAAAUUAACCUGGAUUCACAGUGAAUCCUCAAUUCAUUGACUGGUGUCUUCGUAAGAGGAAAGGACACACAGAGGCACAGAGAGAACCAUUGGAAGACAGAAACAGUAAGCAGGGUAAUGCAGUUCCAAGCACAGGAACACCAAGGGCAGCAAGGAUCAGAGCCACCAGCAUCUAGAAAGGGGCCAGGUUAGAUUCUCCCCCAGAACCUUCAGAAGCAGAAGUGCAUGGCUCUCACCUAUUUCUGAAGCCAGGUCUCUAAAACUGAGAGAACGCAU
This 1393-nucleotide long non-coding RNA is filed under the name Oryctolagus cuniculus (rabbit). Its description in RNAcentral is "lncRNA (ENSOCUG00000038519.1)". The record is from RNAcentral. Lineage: Eukaryota; Metazoa; Chordata; Mammalia; Lagomorpha; Leporidae.